AACUUUUUUUGACAUAAAAAAUUGUGCUAACUCAGCACAAGAUGCUCAAUUAGCCUUAUUUUGUUGAGCAGUUAACAGCAUCAUGGUUGGGUUCGAAUGCAGAUUUUUCUGUACAUUAUUUUGUACAGUUUUUUUUUUGUAUGAUAGAUUAGUGAUAUACUCCAUAUCUGAAGCAAAACUGUGUCUUUCGCAUCUUUUACAGCUGUUUUAGGGGGUAUUGCUUCCUUUUCUACGGCAGUUUGGCAAGUUAACUCUUUUGCAGUUCUAAAUUUUGUUAUUUCUUGUAUACUAUUAUGCUCUCCAUUUUUGUUGUCCGAUGACUUUCAUUGAACCUGCAAUACAUGCACGGCGAAGAUUGAAACAUUGCACUUGGACUAAAUUGUAAUUUGCAACUAAUUUCACAUUACAUACCUUCCCUUCUACACAUGCAUGGAAGAAGCUUAUACUUCAGCUUAAAACAACAACCAUGUAUAUACUUCUUUGCACUGCUAAACAAGUUGGUAAACUGGCAAAAUCUGACGAAGCUUCUCGAACAGGGUAAAAUAAAGGAAAAAGUACGAAUUACCCCCCAACAACCGCGACAGUACGAAUUACCCAUCCGAACCUCAAAACCGGAUAUUUGAUACCCUAAACUAUUGAAACCGGACAAAUUACCCCCCUAACUUGAUUUGAAGCGGUUUUCAGCCUACGUGGCACACACGUGGCGAUACAGUCAGCAAAAACAAAUAAAAACAGGUGGAGCCCACCUGUCAUUUUUUUCUCUCCUCUCCCUUCUCUCUCUCUCGGUCAACACAGGCUACGGCUGGCGGGCGGCGGGCGGCCGAGGAGCCGACGCCGACGGGCGGCAGGCGGGCGAGGACCGAGGAG
RNAcentral lists this long non-coding RNA (867 nucleotides) under Oryza sativa (Asian cultivated rice). Its description in RNAcentral is "long non-coding RNA (OSAT_LNC000308)". The record is from RNAcentral. Lineage: Eukaryota; Viridiplantae; Streptophyta; Magnoliopsida; Poales; Poaceae.